This 925-nucleotide ribosomal RNA is filed under the name uncultured Streptococcus sp. Its description in RNAcentral is "bacterial SSU rRNA". It matches the Rfam family "Bacterial small subunit ribosomal RNA", at positions 1 to 914 of the family's 1533-position model. The record is from RNAcentral. Lineage: Bacteria; Bacillati; Bacillota; Bacilli; Lactobacillales; Streptococcaceae.
UAGAGUUUGAUCCUGGCUCAGGACGAACGCUGGCGGCGUGCCUAAUACAUGCAAGUAGAACGCUGAAGAGAGGAGCUUGCUCUUCUUGGAUGAGUUGCGAACGGGUGAGUAACGCGUAGGUAACCUGCCUUGUAGCGGGGGAUAACUAUUGGAAACGAUAGCUAAUACCGCAUAACAAUGGAUGACACAUGUCAUUUAUUUGAAAGGGGCAAUUGCUCCACUACAAGAUGGACCUGCGUUGUAUUAGCUAGUAGGUGAGGUAAUGGCUCACCUAGGCGACGAUACAUAGCCGACCUGAGAGGGUGAUCGGCCACACUGGGACUGAGACACGGCCCAGACUCCUACGGGAGGCAGCAGUAGGGAAUCUUCGGCAAUGGGGGCAACCCUGACCGAGCAACGCCGCGUGAGUGAAGAAGGUUUUCGGAUCGUAAAGCUCUGUUGUAAGUCAAGAACGGGUGUGAGAGUGGAAAGUUCACACUGUGACGGUAGCUUACCAGAAAGGGACGGCUAACUACGUGCCAGCAGCCGCGGUAAUACGUAGGUCCCGAGCGUUGUCCGGAUUUAUUGGGCGUAAAGCGAGCGCAGGCGGUUUGAUAAGUCUGAAGUUAAAGGCUGUGGCUCAACCAUAGUUCGCUUUGGAAACUGUCAAACUUGAGUGCAGAAGGGGAGAGUGGAAUUCCAUGUGUAGCGGUGAAAUGCGUAGAUAUAUGGAGGAACACCGGUGGCGAAAGCGGCUCUCUGGUCUGUAACUGACGCUGAGGCUCGAAAGCGUGGGGAGCGAACAGGAUUAGAUACCCUGGUAGUCCACGCCGUAAACGAUGUGUGCUAGGUGUUGGAUCCUUUCCGGGAUUCAGUGCCGAAGCUAACGCAUUAAGCACUCCGCCUGGGGAGUACGACCGCAAGGUUGAAACUCAAAGGAAUUGAC